GACGAACGCUGGCGGCGUGCUUAACACAUGCAAGUCGAGCGGUAAGGCCCUUUCGGGGGUACACGAGCGGCGAACGGGUGAGUAACACGUGGGUGACCUGCCCUCAGCUCUGGGAUAAGCCUGGGAAACUGGGUCUAAUACCGGAUAUGACUCCAUGACGCAUGUUGUGGGGUGGAAAGCCUUGUGCGGCUGAGGAUGGGCCCGCGGCCUAUCAGCUUGUUGGUGGGGUGANGGCCUACCAAGGCGACGACGGGUAGCCGGCCUGAGAGGGCGACCGGCCACACUGGGACUGAGACACGGCCCAGACUCCUACGGGAGGCAGCAGUGGGGAAUCUUGCGCAAUGGGCGAAAGCCUGACGCAGCGACGCCGCGUGAGGGAUGACGGCCUGGUGUAACUAC
RNAcentral lists this ribosomal RNA (399 nucleotides) under uncultured bacterium. RNAcentral's name for it is "bacterial SSU rRNA". It matches the Rfam family "Bacterial small subunit ribosomal RNA", at positions 28 to 433 of the family's 1533-position model. The record is from RNAcentral.